Malaclemys terrapin pileata is the source of this 937-nucleotide long non-coding RNA. RefSeq lists it as uncharacterized. The record is from RefSeq and is a predicted model, not a curated record. The transcript is spliced from 4 exons. Lineage: Eukaryota; Metazoa; Chordata; Testudines; Emydidae.
CUGAGGCUGCCGAGCUCGGGCUCCGGCUCCCAGGCUCGGGAAGAGUCCGGGGGGAGCUGGGCUGGGCCGAGGCAGGAUAGGCUGGAGGCGGGGGCAGCGGGUCCAGCCUGUGUUCAGCAGAGGGCGCCCCGCGUUCCGCUGGAGCGGAGCCGGGAGGAGCCUCCUGCGCCGCUCGGCUCGGCGCGGCCGGUUCCCAGCUGGUGCUGCCACGUCCUCUGGGCUGAGCCGGGACUCGGGCGCGGCGCUGCGCGGCUGCCGGAGCCCCACGUGCGCGGGGAGCCGGGCGGGACGGGGGAAGCGGCUGGUGCCCGGCGCUGGGGAAGUUGGAGGCGGCAGAGCCAGGACCCCUGGCGGCAAAGACAACUCCAACCCUAUCUGCUUGACAGAGAAGAGAGGCCCCAUUGGAGCUGUGAAGGGCGUACACCUGGGCAUGGGCUUCCCAGAUGAGUUUCUUGUACAGCACGACCUCCCCCAUUCUGUUGGACUGGGCAGAAUGUGCCUCUGACUUGACAAGGGUUGAUAAUUGUACUGAAGAGCAUCCUAAUUUGGAACAGUGUUGGCGAUACCUCCUCAGCAUAUAUUGGCCUAUCAGUGAAAUUGUCUCACUAUCAAAUGAAAUGGUGGCUUUUCCCUGUUGACUCAGUGUGAAAAAGAUUGCAAAGGCUUUCAGCAACGCUGCAUCUGAGACACACAUCAGCAGGAAACUAGGCUCGUCGUUAAUCCGGUGUUUCAUUUUGUGAAAUUGCCUACUCUGAGAGAAAUAAUACAUUUACAUGUAUAUUAACCAGUGUUUGCCAGCUCUUGGAACAAAGCCAGCUCUCUCUGGGCCAAACAAACACUCGGAGCGAAUGAGUAAUAAUCUGCUGUUGUCACUCCUAAUUUAUGGAUGGGUAGACAGAACAACGCUUGCCAUUUUAAGUUGCCCUAGUUGCUUCAA